UACGGAGGGGGCAAGCGUUACUCGGAAUUACUGGGCGUAAAGGGUUCGUAGGUGGUGCGGUAAGUUGGAAGUGAAAUCUUUGGGCUUAACCCAGAGGCUGCUUUCAAAACUGCCGUGCUCGAGUGCGAGAGAGGUCAGUGGAAUUGCAGGUGUAGCGGUGAAAUGCGUAGAUAUCUGCAGGAACACCCGUGGCGAAGGCGGCUGACUGGAUCGCAACUGACACUGAGGAACGAAAGCUAGGGGAGCAAACAGG
This 253-nucleotide ribosomal RNA is filed under the name uncultured prokaryote. Its description in RNAcentral is "partial 16S ribosomal RNA". It matches the Rfam family "Bacterial small subunit ribosomal RNA", at positions 524 to 776 of the family's 1533-position model. The record is from RNAcentral.